GCCGGGAUGGCGGAACUGGUAGACGCGUUGGACUCAAAAUCCAAUGAGCGCAAGCUCGUGAGAGUUCAAGUCUCUCUCCCGGUACCA
Molecule: transfer RNA, 87 nt
Filed under: Parcubacteria group bacterium
Lineage: Bacteria
Description: tRNA-Leu
Rfam family: tRNA
About the family: Transfer RNA (tRNA) molecules are approximately 80 nucleotides in length.
Source: RNAcentral